GCUAAAAAAUCUCUCUAUUAUGUCUGUCCGUCUCUCGGUCCAUCUGUCUUGUCUAUCCAUCCACCUGAUAGAAGAUCCAUCGAUCUUCUAUCUAUCUCUUGAAGUCGCCCUUAGUAUGUUUGCAGCAGAUGGCAAGUUUAAUACCGUAUCAGUGCCAGAAUGUGAGAUGAGCCGCAUAUCAAUUUAAAUAAACCAACAAUGGUUUGAAGGAUCGCACCCAUCACCCCUCGAUUCCUAGCCCCAGGUAUUUCAGACACAGGAAGUAUGGUCACCUGCCCUGAACAAGAACAAUCUUAAGGCACCACGAAGGUGGAAAAAAUAGAGAAGGAUUCCCUCAAGUGGAACUUAGCUAAUUUUCAGCUGUAACUCCAGUUCAGGAUCCACCAACAGGACUGGAAAGUGGGUCGGACCUGAGGGGGUGGUGGUGAGUGAAAGACAGGAAUAAAGAGGAAUCUCAGUCUCAUUUCAAUGCCAGAGCCGGGACGCUUGAAAGCUCCUAGAAAUAGCAGUAAGAAAGCAACAGGUCGUUUUGCUCAACGUUUUUGGAAGACUUUCGUGAGAACUUAAAUGUUGCGGAAGAAGUGUGCCAGAAAUGGUGCACCGAGUUUUUCGAUGGGAAAUUGCGCCAUUGUGCGAAUGCAGAAGCUGCUUUUGCAACCUCGGAUACUCGUGCUCCAAAGUCGAAGAACUUCCGUGGCUUUUCCUUCCAGAGGCCCGCCCCACCUCCGCUCGGCCAAGAGCAGCGUUGCAGAGGCGGCAACGCAAGGAGGGCUCCGCCAGUUGCGGCGUUGGCGGGAACGAACAAAUCGAUUCCGCUCGGAAGCCUCGCCUUCCUCGCGAACCAGGGCAACUGUCAGUUGGCGCGCAGAAGAAAUUACGCGCGUAAAAAGGGGAAAAGAAGAAAGAACCCUAACAACACCAAAAGAAAAUAUAAACAGAAAAAGAAAAGAAGGAAAUAAUUAAGUAUAAUUAUAUUGAUUUAUAUAAAUUGGGUCACGCUCAGCAUCUUAAUUUGAGCACAUUUAAAUUGAAGUUAAAUGUAUUCAGAAUAGAAAUUUAGAUCUUGUCAUUUGCCCAGUAUUAAAGCAAAGCCUCAUCUUUUGUUUCACUUACAUACAGCACCUAGUUGCCAAGAUCUACUGUGGCAUAAGAAUAUCAGGAUAAUGUAAUAGAAGAAGUCACUGAAUCUAAAAAAUAUUCAAGUUGCACAUAAACUUGCUCUUCCUGAAACUAUUCUAUGCGACCUGUCCCUUAACAUCACACUUCGAUUCUUACUAUCUACAGAGCCCCUGACUACGACAUCGCACAUGCGAACAUGUUAACCACACUACUAACAUGGGCUAUCUCUUGCCCAUAUCCUCUCAUCUUCCUGGGUGACCUCAAUCUACCUCUUAUUAACUGGAUAACAAACAAAUGUACAACUGAACCCAUCCAUACUACUCUAUACAACGCUGUUACAAAUCUAGGUCUUGAACAACCAGUAACUAACAAUACAAGACUAAACAACUGCCUUGACCUCAUCUUCUGCAACAACACAAACUCAAUUUAUGGACUACAACAUGAUAGUUUCAAUUUACCCCCUUACAAAAGUAGUUUCAAUUUACCCCCUUACAAAAAUCAUCAUAAUAAUGGUAUUCCAAACUACAAUUUCAAAAAAGCCAAUGAUGACCUUAUAAACAUCGACCUCUCAUCUCUUGACUGGCAAAAUCUAUUCUCAACCUGUAUCACUGCUGAAGACUAUUAUAAAGUUUUCCUACUUGAAGUCAAUAGAGGCAUUAAACUUUACGUACCACAAACCACCACCAAAAUCAGAAAAAACAAAUUACUCAUACCAAUAAAAAAGCUCCAAUCCAAAAAAAAAAUCCCUUUGGAGAAGAAACAAAAAGGGCUAUGUAGCUAAUUUCAAAAACCACUACAGAAAUAUAUGCAACCAAAUAAAAAUUGAAUGCACCAAUUACCACACCAAGCAAGAAGAAGACCUUCUGCGCACUAAUUCCAAUCGUGCUUUUAUAAUUUUGUAAACAACAAAGUUAAAGACUCGAGAUUCAUCCCACCACUAAAAGAAUCUAACGGCAAAGAAUAUAAUGAUGAAACAGUUAAAGCAAAUCUCUUUAACACAUUCUUUGGCUCAGUCUUUGUUAACAGUAAUAGCUCAUAUCCGACAUCCCCCAAUCGUACCAACAAUGAGUACAACGAGCUAACACAAAUAGAUUUCACAGAAGAUAAUGUUGAAAAAGCUCUUUGCAAACUGAAACCAUCCCUAUCUAUUGGACCUGAUGGACUACUUCAUACUUCUUAAAAAAGCUUUCCACUAAUAUAGCAGAACCCCUAAGCAUAAUCUUUGAAAAAGCUUUCAUGACCAGUUCCUUUCCCAAACUUUGGUCAUUAGCCACGGCCAUCCCUGUCUUCAAAAAAGGAGACCCCAGUCUAGUUGAAAAUUACAGACCAAUCUCUCUAUGCUGCAUCACCUGCAAAGUAAUGGAAUCUAUCAUCAACCAAUCCAUUACCCUCCACCUAGAAACAAACAACCUACUCUCUAAUAAACAAAUUUUCAGAAAAAAAUUAUCAUGUAAUUUACAACUUCUCCACUGCAAAAACAUAUGGACUACAAAUCUUGAUCAAGGCAAAGCAAUAGAUGCAAUUUACACAGACUUCUGUAAAGCUUUUGACUCAGUAGUACAUGAUAAACUUCUCCUCAAACUAAAAUCCUAUGGCAUUUCAGGACCCCUCCACAAUUGGAUAACAGCUUUCCUGUCAAAUAGACAACAAGUGGUCAAAAUUGGCAGUAUUCUAUCAAACCCUGUUCCUGUCAAUAGCGGCAUUCCACAAGGCAGCGUUCUUGGACCAACACUCUUCAUAUUAUACAUUAAUGAUCUCUUGUGAACAUAUUAUAGGUAAUUGUGUUCUCUUUGCGGACGAUGUCAAACUAUUUAACACCACCAACAAUACAGCUACCCUUCAAAAAGACCUUGACUUUGUGUCAGAAUGGUCUAAAACUUGGCAACUCCAAAUCUCAACCAGCAAAUGCUCUGUCUUACACAUUGGAAAAAAGAAUCUAAACACUAAAUGUUUAGUGCAACUACAUCGCAAAAAAGGCUUUAAGAGUUGUAAACCUUAUCUUGCGUAGCUUCUUCUCCAGAAACACUACACUACUAACCAGAGCAUAUAAAACAUUUGCUAGACCAAUUCUUGAAAACAGCUUGCCUGUCUGGAACCCAUACCACAUUUCAGACAUCAAUACAAUUGAACGUGUCCAGAAAUAUUUUACAAGAAGAGUUCUCCACUCCUCUGAAUACAACAAAAUACCUUAUGCCACCAGACUUGAAAUCCUGGGUUUAGAAAACUUAGAACUCCGCCGCCUUCGAUAUGACCUGAGUUUAACUCAUAGAAUCAUCUAUUGCAAUGUCCUUCUUGUUGAAGACUACUUCAGCUUCAAUUGCAACAAUACACGAGCACACAAUAGAUUUAAGCUUAAUGUUAACCACUCCAACCUUGAUUGCAGAAAAUAUGAUUUCAGUAACAGAGUUGUUAAUACUUGGAAUACACUAUCUGACUCUGUGGUCUCUUCCCAAAAUCCCCAAAGCUUUAACCAAAAACUGUUUACUAUUGGCCUCACCCCAUUCCUAAGAGGUCUGUAAGGGGCGUGCAUAAGGUCUGUAAGGGGCGUGCAUAACAAGCGUCCCUACCGUUCCUGUCUAUUGUUUCCUUUCAUUAUAUCCAAUCAAUAUAGUUAUCACAUACUUAAGCUUAUAUAUAUGCUUAUAUGUUGUAUAGUUAUUUCAUGCUUAUGCUUAUAUAAACUGUUGUGACAAAAUAAAUAAAUAAAAAAUAAAGAAAGAAAGAAACAUGAAAUAUUUUAAUUAAAUAUAUCUGUUUAAUACUAUCUACUCUUGUGAUGACGGUGCGCCUAUUGCCUAAAACUAAAUAACUUCACAAAUACUGGAAAUUCACAGAACACAUGCAGAUUUCAAUUGAAAGAAUAUGCCAGAUACAGUUUAAAAAUACAAAAACUUCUUGUUAUCUGCUGGAAUAAAUACUCAGAUCCUCAAGAUAGGGGUGAAAUCUACUUAUCUUCCCUACCGGUUUAGAAGUGCACACACUCUGCGCGUGAGCGAAACCCUUCUGCGCAUGCGGAGAGGGUAAAAAACAGGUAAUGAUGACCUGGAAGGUGGGCAGAGCCUUGUGCUGCCAUUUCUACCAGUUCUCCGAACCAUCCACCGCCAUCGCUACCGGAUCGGCCAAACCGGUCCGAACUGGUAGCAUUUCACCCGGAUAGUUCCAUUUUGCUAUAAAAUGUCUGGAAAGCACUAAGAAGUACAUUUUAGGAAUUCCUAUUAGUAAUAUACAUUGGUACACUAUUACUAAAUCAACAAGCUAUUGCAGUUAAAUAAAUUUAUUUCACAGGGAGGCUUGCUUCAUAUUUAUAUAAAUAUCUAACCCCACAGCAUUAAGUAAAAAUGUAAUAAUUCAGAACCGCCUAGAAAAACAGCAUA
This is a long non-coding RNA of Ahaetulla prasina, 4493 nucleotides long. RefSeq lists it as uncharacterized. The record is from RefSeq and is a predicted model, not a curated record. NCBI's taxonomy places the organism in Eukaryota, Metazoa, Chordata, Lepidosauria, Squamata, Colubridae. The transcript is spliced from 3 exons.